GAGUGCCAAUGAGACAUCCAAAUAACAAUAUAUAAAAGUAAACAAUUAGAGGUAGGUACGGCCUUCAACACGGAGCCUUGGCUCACACCGAACAACAAGCUAUAAAGGGCCCCAAAAUUACAAGUGUAAAACCGUUCAAACGGGAAAACCAACGGUCUAAUAUAUAUAAAAAACGAGAAACGAGAAACAUGUAUAAAUUACAUUAACAAACGACAACUACUGUAAAUCCGAUAGUUUAUAAUUUAAU
Molecule: long non-coding RNA, 247 nt
Filed under: Mytilus galloprovincialis (Mediterranean mussel)
Lineage: Eukaryota; Metazoa; Mollusca; Bivalvia; Mytilida; Mytilidae
Source: RNAcentral